GCAAAGAAGAACUAUAAGAACAAUUACAUAUAUAUAAUUAAGCUAAACAUAUAAAAACAAACUUAUAAUUUCAACCAACUGAAUACAAAUUUAACUCAAACAAACAAGAUAAUGGAUUAUACUAAUUAAUUUUCAGAAUCCAGCUAGCUAGCUAGGUACUUGAAACUAAAUUAAAAUCAAAUUGAAACAUAGGAGGUAGAGUUUGCAAUGCAAGCAAGGAAGAAAAUAGCAGAAGAAGCACCAUCUUCUUGAAGAUUAUAAAUGCUUCUUUUGAACUUGCUGGUUUUUCCUUUGUUGCAUUGAACUAUCUGCUUUUGCUGAUGUUGCUGAUAAGUUUCUUUGGCCUUGUUCACUUCCUGCUGCUGCUGUUUCUUUUUCAUGGCUUCUUCAACUCGAGACACCAUUUUACUUAGAUUAGAUAUAGAUAGAAAGGGUAUUUUGAGAGAGAGAAUAUUGUUCAUGAGAAUAUCG
This 471-nucleotide long non-coding RNA is filed under the name Olea europaea subsp. europaea. Lineage: Eukaryota; Viridiplantae; Streptophyta; Magnoliopsida; Lamiales; Oleaceae. The record is from RNAcentral.